GGGCACAUGGUGUAGUGGUUAUCACGCUCGCUUUGCAUGCGAGUGGUCCCCGGUUCAAUCCCGGGUGUGUCCA
Infundibulicybe gibba is the source of this 73-nucleotide non-coding RNA. Lineage: Eukaryota; Fungi; Basidiomycota; Agaricomycetes; Agaricales; Omphalinaceae. The record is from the annotation of a GenBank genome assembly.